Molecule: ribosomal RNA, 436 nt
Filed under: uncultured bacterium
Lineage: Bacteria
Description: bacterial SSU rRNA
Rfam family: Bacterial small subunit ribosomal RNA
Source: RNAcentral
GGAAUAUUGGUCAAUGGGCGUAAGCCUGAACCAGCCAAGUCGCGUGAGGGAAGACGGUCCUACGGAUUGUAAACCUCUUUUGCCGGGGAGCAACGGGGUCCUUGCGAGGGCCCUAUGAGAGUACCCGGAGAAAAAGCAUCGGCUAACUCCGUGCCAGCAGCCGCGGUAAUACGGAGGAUGCGAGCGUUGUCCGGAUUUAUUGGGUUUAAAGGGUGCGUAGGCGGGCUGUUAAGUCAGCGGUCAAAUGUCGGGGCUCAACCCCGGCCUGCCGUUGAAACUGGCGGCCUCGAGUGGGCGAGAAGUAUGCGGAAUGCGUGGUGUAGCGGUGAAAUGCAUAGAUAUCACGCAGAACUCCGAUUGCGAAGGCAGCAUACCGGCGCCCUACUGACGCUGAGGCACGAAAGCGUGGGUAUCGAACAGGAUUAGAUACCCUGGU